UGAAAUGAUCCCCCUUAAAGGGGGCUCAAUAUGUCUCAAUCUGCACUCCAUUUCACUCAAAGCAUUUGGGUAUAAGGACAGACUCCAGAAACGCAUUAAUUAAAGGGCGAUGUCUCCGACACAGACUUACACAAUGCUCUUCCCGACGAAGACGACCAAACGCGAUAGCAAGGACACGAAGCCUUGCACGGAGGUCCGACGGAGAAUCGCAGGCUAUAGGACCUUUAUGACCUGGCGUAUCAGGGAGGAGCUAAUUGAAAGGACGACAUGGCCUGGAGUACCAUUAAAGCUACAUAAAGCGUCUCCGCCAGCAGCAGCUGCCCAAUACUGGCGUGAUCCCCUAAAAGAUCACACACGCUUUCGCACACCAUGUCCGGAGUGAUCAAUGGUGAGGGAUUAUUAUUAUUUUUUUUUGUUACCUUGAACCAGCGGUGAACUCGGGAGCCGUGAGAGCCUCUCGCACUGGUCCCAGCUCCAGGGUCAGCAACAGUGCGUCUCCAAGCAGAUAUGCAAACGAGCCGGGCCCCUGCAGUGACCCCUGCGGGGGAUCCGCCCUCACCGACGACAUUGCCUCCGACGAGAGCUCGCGAGCGCGCUUGACUAAUGGGCUUUUAUUACAGCACCACGCCAGCUCUUGAUUGCCAAGAUGUGCGGAGUGCAAUUGAAGGUGCACACGCGGAUUCCGCUUGCUUGCACCGACAUGCGCAGAAGGCGGGAGGGCGGCCAGGCCUCGGCUCAGACCCCACCACGCCCACGGGACGUGGGGCGACGCACUUCUCCUUAUAUUUCUAUGGGCAGAUUGGAGUCUUACACAGAGGAAAAACAGAUGACAGACUCCGCGUUGUGCUGUUUGUCAUAAGCUGCUGCCUGUCAGGGAGAUACAGCUGAUAUAUUUUAGGCUUCUAAACACAUUAUUAAUGCCAAAGUAAAAAAUAAUUACGAUAUAAUUAGUGGAAGGAAUAUAAGUAAUGUCAGUAAGGCUUUGUUUCACUCUUAACAAUACAGAAAAACUGAUCUCAAAUAAAACGUUUUUUAAGCUUUU
Electrophorus electricus (electric eel) is the source of this 1042-nucleotide long non-coding RNA. RefSeq lists it as uncharacterized. Lineage: Eukaryota; Metazoa; Chordata; Actinopteri; Gymnotiformes; Gymnotidae. The record is from RefSeq and is a predicted model, not a curated record.